CCUACGGGUGGCAGCAGUGAGGAAUAUUGGUCAAUGGACGAGAGUCUGAACCAGCCAAGUAGCGUGAAGGAUGACUGCCCUAUGGGUUGUAAACUUCUUUUAUAUGGGAAUAAAAUGUUCCACGUGUGGGAUUUUGUAUGUACCAUAUGAAUAAGGGUCGGCUAACUCCGUGCCAGCAGCCGCGGUAAUACGGAGGAUCCGAGCGUUAUCCGGAUUUAUGGGGUUUAAAGGGAGCGUAGGUGGGUUGUUAAGUCAGUUGUGAAAGUUUGCGGCUUAACCGUAAAAUUGCAGUUGAAACUGGCAGGCUUGAGUACAGUAGAGGUGGGCAGAAUUCGUGGUGUAGCGGUGAAAUGCUUAGAUAUGACGAAGAACUCCGAAGGCGAAGGCAGCUCACUGGACUGCAACUGACACUGAGGCUCGAAAGUGUGGGUAUCAAACAGGAUUAGAUACCCCGGUAGUC
RNAcentral lists this ribosomal RNA (460 nucleotides) under uncultured bacterium. Its description in RNAcentral is "partial 16S ribosomal RNA". It matches the Rfam family "Bacterial small subunit ribosomal RNA", at positions 338 to 795 of the family's 1533-position model. The record is from RNAcentral.